This 429-nucleotide ribosomal RNA is filed under the name Coptotermes testaceus. RNAcentral describes it as "partial 16S ribosomal RNA". The record is from RNAcentral. Lineage: Eukaryota; Metazoa; Arthropoda; Insecta; Blattodea; Rhinotermitidae.
UUACGCUGUUAUCCCUAAGGUAAUUUAAUCUUGCAAUCAAAAUAAAUGGAUCAAACAACUAUAAAUCAAUAUAACCUAAAACCAAGAGGAGUUAAACUAUAUUCCUCUCAUCACCCCAACAAAACAAAAAGCCCACUUACCAAAAACAAAACAAACAACAUAAAUAAAUAAGCCAAAUGUCAAACUCUAUAGGGUCUUCUCGUCCCAUAAAAACAUCUAAGAAUUUUAACUCAAAGACCAAAUUCAAUAAAACAUCCAUCACUAAGACAGCCAGUGCCUCGUCAAGCCAUUCAUUCCAGAUCACAAUUAAAGAACUAAUGAUUAUGCUACCUUUGCACGGUCAAAAUACCGCGGCCCUUCAACACUCAAGUCAGCGGGCAGGCCAUACUUCAAAAACUAACAAGAAAAGAUGUUUUUGAUAAACAGGCG